UACAGAGGGUGCAAGCGUUGUUCGGAAUUAUUGGGCGUAAAGCGCGUGUAGGCGGCUUUGCAAGUCGGGUGUGAAAGCCCUCAGCUCAACUGAGGAAGUGCGCCCGAAACUGCAGAGCUUGAGUGCCGGAGAGGGUGGCGGAAUUCCCCCAAGUAGAGGUGAAAUUCGUAGAUAUGGGGAGGAACACCGGUGGCGGAAGGCGGCCACCCUGGACGGUAACUGACGCUGAGACGCGAAAGCGUGGGAGCAAACAGG
RNAcentral lists this ribosomal RNA (255 nucleotides) under uncultured bacterium. RNAcentral describes it as "partial 16S ribosomal RNA". It matches the Rfam family "Bacterial small subunit ribosomal RNA", at positions 524 to 776 of the family's 1533-position model. The record is from RNAcentral.